This 468-nucleotide ribosomal RNA is filed under the name uncultured bacterium. Its description in RNAcentral is "partial 16S ribosomal RNA". It matches the Rfam family "Bacterial small subunit ribosomal RNA", at positions 28 to 507 of the family's 1533-position model. The record is from RNAcentral.
GACGAACGCUGGCGGCGUGCUUAACACAUGCAAGUCGAACGGAAAGGCCCUGCUUUUGUGGGGUGCUCGAGUGGCGAACGGGUGAGUAACACGUGAGUAACCUGCCCUUGACUUUGGGAUAACUUCAGGAAACUGGGGCUAAUACCGGAUAGGAGCUCCUGCUGCAUGGUGGGGGUUGGAAAGUUUCGGCGGUUGGGGAUGGACUCGCGGCUUAUCAGCUUGUUGGUGGGGUAGUGGCUUACCAAGGCUUUGGCGGGUAGCCGGCCUGAGAGGGUGACCGGAAACAUUGGGACUGAGAUACGGCACAGACUCCUACGGGAGGCAGCAGUGGGGAAUAUUGCACAAUGGGCGGAAGACUGAUGCAGCAACGCCGCGUGCGGGAUGACGGCCUUAGGGUUGUAAACCGCUUUCGCCUGUGACGAAGCGUGAGUGAAGGUAAUGGGUAAAGAAGCACCGGCUAACUACGUG